This 310-nucleotide ribosomal RNA is filed under the name Prasinoderma singulare. RNAcentral describes it as "partial Bacterial large subunit ribosomal RNA". It matches the Rfam family "Bacterial large subunit ribosomal RNA", at positions 195 to 505 of the family's 2925-position model. The record is from RNAcentral. Lineage: Eukaryota; Viridiplantae; Prasinodermophyta; Prasinodermophyceae; Prasinodermales; Prasinodermaceae.
GAAACAUCUAAGUACCCGGAGGAAGAGAAAACAAUAGUGAUUCCGAUAGUAGCGGCGAGCGAAAUCGGAUUAGCCCAAACCCAUUCUGUUACGGCAGGGGGGGGGUUGUAGGACUACAAUGUUCAAUGCUGGAUGAAUUAGAACAAGUUGGAAAGCUUGGCCAAAGAAGGUGACAGCCCUGUAUAGGUAAAGAAAGCAGCGAUAGUAGUAUCCUGAGUAGUGCGGGGCACGUGAAACCCUGUAUGAAUCCGGCGGGACCAUCCGCCAAGGCUAAAUACUCCUGAGAGACCGAUAGUGAACCAGUACCGUG